GGCACUGCUUCCCAGCUCCGGAAACCUGAUCUCUUCUUGUCAACUAGACCACAUGCUUCAGAUUCCCUGCAAACAGGAGAGAAAACAGAAGUCAGAGUCAGGGAUUUUCAGUGCUUUGGGUCAGCUGCAUGGAAGGAGCAGGGUGAGCAAUGUGGAGUUUCAGAUGAAUUUCUUCAGUUGCCCAAAAUAUAUGAAACACUGUGAUACUCUAAACCACA
Long non-coding RNA from Acomys russatus (golden spiny mouse), 218 nucleotides. RefSeq lists it as uncharacterized. Lineage: Eukaryota; Metazoa; Chordata; Mammalia; Rodentia; Muridae. The transcript has 3 exons. The record is from RefSeq and is a predicted model, not a curated record.